This 377-nucleotide ribosomal RNA is filed under the name uncultured bacterium. Its description in RNAcentral is "bacterial SSU rRNA". It matches the Rfam family "Bacterial small subunit ribosomal RNA", at positions 523 to 898 of the family's 1533-position model. The record is from RNAcentral.
AUACGUAGGUGGCGAGCGUUGUCCGGAAUUACUGGGUGUAAAGGGCGUGUAGGCGGGGAUGCAAGUCAGAUGUGAAAUACCGAGGCUUAACCUCGGGGCUGCAUCUGAAACUGUGUUUCUUGAGUGUCGGAGAGGAAAGCGGAAUUCCCAGUGUAGCGGUGAAAUGCGUAGAGAUUGGGAGGAACACCAGUGGCGAAGGCGGCUUUCUGGACGACAACUGACGCUGAGGCGCGAAAGCGUGGGGAGCAAACAGGAUUAGAUACCCUGGUAGUCCACGCCGUAAACGAUGGAUACUAGGUGUAGGAGGUAUCGACCCCUUCUGUGCCGGAGUUAACACAAUAAGUUUCCCACCCGGGGAGUACGGCCGCAAGGUUGAA